CUUCCUCCUCCACUUCUUCUUUCAUCAACUGACCAACAGGCUUACCAUCGAGCAUAGUUGGUGGGAUAUACUCCAAUACCAUACCAUUUGAUGCAAAUCUAUUCUUCUGGAAGAGAUUUGCCCAACCUUUGGGUGCUGCAUUAGUCGCCUUAGCUGGAUCUGGAUCUGAUGGUUGUUCAGGGUUCUGCAUGAGGACAUUACCUAUCUCUUCUUGCACCACCGGAGGAUGAGAAGGUACCAGAGUUUCAGCUUGUGCAGAAGGUUCCUCCGACUGGGUCAAUGUAACAGUACUCGAUGAAACAGUAACAGGCUUUGAGUUAUUAUCAUCCUUAUCAGCUGCUGUUGGAAGCACGGGAGCUCCAGAUGGCUGCGAAUCUGCAGUUGCAUGAGGCAAUGAAACAAUAUCUUCAGUGGGUUUCAAUGGAACAGUGUUAACCGAUUGUAGCACAGUGUUAACAGUUUUUGGGGAAAUACUGUUGUUUGCAUA
RNAcentral lists this long non-coding RNA (487 nucleotides) under Nicotiana benthamiana. RNAcentral's name for it is "long non-coding RNA (NBEN_LNC033686)". Lineage: Eukaryota; Viridiplantae; Streptophyta; Magnoliopsida; Solanales; Solanaceae. The record is from RNAcentral.